GAGAGCUGGGAGCUCUGACCCGGGACGCAGCGCGACCCGGCCGGAACUUUCACUUCCGGCCACCCCACGACGGCUCGCGGGCACCCAUGUCUUUGUCUCUCUGUCGCCUACCUCCCUGUAGCCUCUGAUCAUCCAUGCACUGAACGGAGAAGGAGAUUCGACGACUGGAAGCUCCGGGACCUCUUCGGCGAGCUCUCAAUUCCCGGCGAUUCCGACCACCAUUUUGGCUACCUAUGGCAGCCGUGUUCUUGGACACCGGCGACUUCUCCGACGCGUCAGGGUGCCCUCAACUCAUUCUCCGACGGUCAUCAUCGUCCUGGAACCCGAAAACGUGGAAGGUUGAGCUGAAAUAGGUGGUCGGGCUACGUUGACAGUGUCGGAGUUCGUCAAAUUCGAAAACUGACGAGAAAGAAGGAUCAACUCACCGUCGAGUUUCAAUUAGGAAGCCGCUGCAAGGAAGUUUGAAUUCCAGUGGGUAAACUAGACAGAACGAAGGUAAAUUCGAUGGUUCUGUCAAAUUUGUUAAUCCCUGAAAGUUGAGAAAUUGUGCGGGCUAUCCGAUGUUGUUUGCAUGUGCAGAGUGGGUUGGUUGUAACUUGAUUUGAAUUGAUGAGGUUGUGUAGUUUGGUGAUUUAAAUUUGUUCUGGUUUUGCAAGUUAUUGCUUUGUUGGUGUUGCUAAGGCAGGUUAUUUGAAAUGAUUGUGGAAUAAUUG
Molecule: long non-coding RNA, 713 nt
Filed under: Rosa chinensis
Lineage: Eukaryota; Viridiplantae; Streptophyta; Magnoliopsida; Rosales; Rosaceae
Description: sRNA RchiOBHm_Chr1g0337701
Source: RNAcentral